This 253-nucleotide ribosomal RNA is filed under the name uncultured bacterium. RNAcentral describes it as "partial 16S ribosomal RNA". It matches the Rfam family "Bacterial small subunit ribosomal RNA", at positions 524 to 776 of the family's 1533-position model. The record is from RNAcentral.
UACAGAGGGUGCGAGCGUUAAUCGGAAUUACUGGGCGUAAAGCGCACGUAGGUGGCUUGGCAAGUCGGGUGUGAAAUCCCCGGGCUCAACCUGGGAACUGCAUUCGAGACUGCCUUGCUCGAGUAUGGGAGAGGGAAGUGGAAUUUCCGGUGUAGCGGUGAAAUGCGUAGAUAUCGGAAGGAGCAUCAGUGGCGAAGGCGACUUCCUGGACCAAUACUGACACUCAGGUGCGAAAGCGUGGGGAGCAAACAGG